RNAcentral lists this ribosomal RNA (542 nucleotides) under uncultured archaeon. Its description in RNAcentral is "bacterial SSU rRNA". It matches the Rfam family "Archaeal small subunit ribosomal RNA", at positions 457 to 1000 of the family's 1478-position model. The record is from RNAcentral.
GUCACCGCCGCGGUAAUACCAGCUCUCCGAGUGGUGUGGAUGUUUAUUGGGCCUAAAGCAUCCGUAGCUGGCUAAGUUAGUCCCUUGUUAAAUCCACCGAAUUAAUCGUUGGAUUGCGGGGGAUACUGCUUGGCUAGGGGACGAGAGAGGCAGACGGUAUUUCCGGGGUAGGGGUGAAAUCCUAUAAUCCCGGGAAGACCACCAGUGGCGAAGGCUGUCUGCUAGAACGCGCCCGACGGUGAGGGAUGAAAGCUGGGGGAGCGAACCGGAUUAGAUACCCGGGUAGUCCCAGCUGCAAACGAUGCAGGCUAGGUGUUUGGACGGCCACGUGCCGUUCUAGUGCCGCAGGGAAGCUGUUAAGCCUGCCGCCUGGGGAGUACGAUCGCAAGAUUGAAACUUAAAGGAAUUGGCGGGGGAGCACCACAAGGGGUGAAGCUUGCGGUUUAAUUGGAGUCAACGCCGGAAAUCUCACCGGGAGCGACAGCAGUAUGAAGGCCAGAUUAAAGGUCUUGCCAGACGAGCUGAGAGGUGGUGCAUGGCCA